This is a small nuclear RNA of Anolis carolinensis (green anole), 207 nucleotides long. Its record names the gene U2. It matches the Rfam family "U2 spliceosomal RNA". From Rfam's summary of the family: U2 is a small nuclear RNA (snRNA) component of the spliceosome (involved in pre-mRNA splicing). Complementary binding between U2 snRNA (in an area lying towards the 5' end but 3' to hairpin I) and the branchpoint sequence (BPS) of the intron results the bulging out of an unpaired adenosine, on the BPS, which initiates a nucleophilic attack at the intronic 5' splice site, thus starting the first of two transesterification reactions that mediate splicing. The record is from Ensembl. NCBI's taxonomy places the organism in Eukaryota, Metazoa, Chordata, Lepidosauria, Squamata, Anolidae.
AUUGCUUCUCGGUCUUUUGGCUAAGAUCAAGUGUAGUAUCAAGUGUAAUAACAGUCCUAAUUAACUUGAGUAUUUCAUCAGCCAAAAUCAGGCCCACACUUUCCACUGAAAUAUUGGUAAGUUUAUGUUGGUUAAAAUUGUUCUUCAUUUUAAACAUAGUACUGUUCAUUUUUUUUGCUCUACAAAUAAGAUGUGUGCAGUGUGCAU